This 49-nucleotide non-coding RNA is filed under the name Trichobilharzia regenti. Lineage: Eukaryota; Metazoa; Platyhelminthes; Trematoda; Strigeidida; Schistosomatidae. The record is from RNAcentral.
GUACUGAUGAAGAGUCCCAAACAAGGUUGACGAAACAGCUGUCCAGUAC